UCAGCCAGUGAACCCUGUUGAUUGAGCAGGUUACACAGAGCAAAGCAGAGAUAGCACUAUAGCUAGCUAGUUGCCUUUGAAAACAAAUACUUUGUAUACUGAUUUUAAAAAAUACAAGAAAAGAAAGACUGUCCAAGGAAAGAUUAUGACCAAGAACGGAUUGAACUGAGCGAGAGACAAGACUCUUGUGAACGUCGGUUGGGCUUUUCAGUGAUGGGGAGCGCUAAUAGGGACUUCAAAAGUGACGCUGAACUUUCAGUAUUUCUGCUGGACAGGUUGACUACGCCUUGAAGCCUGAUGGUGCUUUCCCCAGAUCCACAGUCCUUCGUCCUGCGGUCCUGGGAUUGCUGUUUCGGGUUAGCCCCAGCUGCUUCACAGUGAAGAAUUAGCAGGUGUACCUGACCGGGCAGAGGGUGGGCACCAGCAGACCAGCCCCUGUGCCCUCUGAAGUACGCCCAGCACUCUGCCCAGACGGGCAGUUACUGUCCUGUGCCACAGAACUAUAUCCCCCAGAGACCGAAAGCAACAUUAUGGCAGAGAUGCACUACAUGGACCUUCUGGGGCUGAGUUGUUCUAAUGCAGAUGCAGCUGUGCACAGAUGUGCGGACUCCUGGAAUUGUUUUUUUUUUAACGUCGGAUGCGCUGGCUCUCAUUCAGGAUUCCCACGCGCAUCCAUCAGCUUCAGAUGCUGUUGCAGUGGAUGCUUUAGAACACCUGCUCAUCAUCAGCAGCACAGCACACACGGGGGGUAGAAUGUUCAUUCACAAAUCUGCAGCUUUCCCAUGCUGACAACAGCGGUUUUGGGGAGAGAUAGAUGAGACAAAUCCCCUGUUCUUUAACCUGGUAAUGACCAUUUAAUAAAAAAGGCAAAAGUAAAA
Long non-coding RNA from Anguilla anguilla (European eel), 878 nucleotides. RefSeq lists it as uncharacterized. Lineage: Eukaryota; Metazoa; Chordata; Actinopteri; Anguilliformes; Anguillidae. The record is from RefSeq and is a predicted model, not a curated record. The transcript has 6 exons.